Daphnia pulex (common water flea) is the source of this 1577-nucleotide long non-coding RNA. RefSeq lists it as uncharacterized. The record is from RefSeq and is a predicted model, not a curated record. Lineage: Eukaryota; Metazoa; Arthropoda; Branchiopoda; Diplostraca; Daphniidae. The transcript is spliced from 4 exons.
GUAACACCUACGUCUCGUUUACAUUGGCCCAGACGAGCCAAAGACGCUAUCACUUCACUCCCUUGUUGCUAAAGAACGGAAACGGGUAUCACUACGCAGUACAAGUUCAGACAAACGGUUAGUUUUCUAUCACGUUCCAGACAAAACGCAUCUUGCCCAAUAAAUUCACCUUUAUUUCUUCAUAAUAAUUUUUCGCUAAUCAACAUGUUUAUAGGUAAUUCAUAAGAGAAUAAGUUAUUCUUUAUAUCUUGUGCAUCCGAAAAUCCAACAAACAGCAGUCAAGAUAUAGCAGUGCUGGAUGCCUUCCACUUCUCCAUGGCGGGGAAAAACGGAUCAAAACCCGAUGAAAUUGUUACGACUAUGACAGCCUUGAUGCGUGUGACCAGUGCUUGACUCCUAGUUUGCUUUUCCCGAAAAGGUAUUUGCCGUUUGCUGUCGUCUCCAUGUCACCCCCCCCCCCCCCCACCCUAACCUGAGGGCCACUUUGCAGCACCAUUAAAAACUGUUGAUGCUCUGACCGAUUUAGGAUUAGCAGCGGUGAGGACGAUACCUUUACAGUCAACAGCCGCUUCAGUUUCAACCCUAUACAUUUGACCUAAAGAAUUGAUUAAGUCACCGUCACUCGGCCUCCACAUCAGCAACCAACAGGGCAUCGCCAUGGACUACGUUUCAUGUGACGAAAUCAUUGCCACCAAGGGUGAUCUCAUUGCAUUUCGCCGGUUUUUCCUCUGGUUUUUCCUGCGUUUAUUUGUGCCGUCCAAGUUUAUUAAUUAUCGCCCGUGGCAAUGGCUUGUGUACUGUCAUUUUGCUGUCUGCACUGAAAGUGCAUCUGUAAGUGGAGAAAUUAUUCCCAAGGAAAUUUGUAACAGAAUCACUAUAGGCGUUGAUACCCCAAAGUGGUUUACGUGGUUUGGUAUACGGUUGCCGUUUAGUGUUACUAAACUUGUAGAGAAGACCAUGCAAACCCUGUGUGACCAACACGGGUGUCGAGUGAACAAUCAUGACGAGUUUGCCAGAAAAAAAAAAUUGGUCAUCAAUACACCUGACGAUGUUGUUAAAAGGGCUCGGGAGUUUCUCAGGGAUAACCAGCAUCCCAUCAUGUUUUACAAUGUGCUGAUUAAGAAUUGUGAACAUUUUGCCACCCUGUGUAGGUAUGAGAAAGCCUUUAGUCUCCAAGUCCCUGGUUGGAUUUCGAAGACGUUCGAUUUUAUUUUCAUGUUGUGUUCCAUGUUGUGUUCCAUGUUGUGUUGGUUUUUUUAUAAGUUCUUUAAACCGCCACCUGGAGUUGAUAAUACGAGUGUUAUCAUGAAAGAAGUCAGAGCGAAUGAACAAAGAAACAAUAAUAUGCCUAUUGAAGAAUUGCAGUAAUAAUUAAGAUUAUAAUUACUUCAAUUUUUAGCGUUGCUCAUGCCUUAAGAUGGAUGCCACAUUGUUUGUUCAGCGCAUUGUUCAUUUUAUCUCUUCAAACCUCAGUAUGGUAUAGUAGAAAAAUAGCCAAAGAAAUAGUCUGUCUGGUGUUAUGUUCUAUGUAACGCGGGAAAGAAAAUUAAAAAUUAAAUAAAGUAAAUUUGAAUUCA